Molecule: ribosomal RNA, 534 nt
Filed under: uncultured bacterium
Lineage: Bacteria
Description: bacterial SSU rRNA
Rfam family: Bacterial small subunit ribosomal RNA
Source: RNAcentral
GCCUGAUCCAGCCAUGCCGCGUGCAGGAUGACGGUCCUAUGGAUUGUAAACUGCUUUUGUACGAGAAGAAACACUCCAACGUGUUGGAGCUUGACGGUAUCGUAAGAAUAAGGAUCGGCUAACUCCGUGCCAGCAGCCGCGGUAAUACGGAGGAUCCAAGCGUUAUCCGGAAUCAUUGGGUUUAAAGGGUCCGUAGGCGGUUUAGUAAGUCAGUGGUGAAAGCCCAUCGCUCAACGGUGGAACGGCCAUUGAUACUGCUGAACUUGAAUUAUUAGGAAGUAACUAGAAUAUGUAGUGUAGCGGUGAAAUGCUUAGAGAUUACAUGGAAUACCAAUUGCGAAGGCAGGUUACUACUAAUGGAUUGACGCUGAUGGACGAAAGCGUGGGUAGCGAACAGGAUUAGAUACCCUGGUAGUCCACGCCGUAAACGAUGGAUACUAGCUGUUGGAAGCAAUUUCAGUGGCUAAGCGAAAGUGAUAAGUAUCCCACCUGGGGAGUACGUUCGCAAGAAUGAAACUCAAAGGAAUUGACGGA